UAGGCGGUGGAAAAUGAACCAAAUGGGAUUCCUUAAGUAAUUGCGAAUGAACAAGGAAAUGCUCAGCUUGAAAAAUGGGGCCUUUGGCUUUGAAUUGUAAUUUUGAAAUGUAUUGCCAAUGGAGGCGCAGGUGCAAGCCUAUUGAAAGAAAGCGUCAACGAGGGUGAAAUUCCUUUUUGUCAUUUGCAGUCCUCCGUGCACGGUAUAUAUUUGACGAGUCACACUCCUCGGCAUUGGAAUGCAAAGUGGGUGGUAAAUUCCAUGUAAAGGUAAAUAUAUUAUUGAGACUGAUAGCAAACAAGUACCAUGAGGGAAAUAUGAAAAGGACUUUGAAAAGGGAAUUAAAAGAGUCUGCAUUUGCUGAACAGAAAGCAAACAGAAUUGAUGUGCUUGGUUGGAUUGUUGUGCCCACUCUGUCAUUUAUGUCGGAUGUGGGUGCGAUGGUUCUUACCUUGAAUGUCAGCUUCUAUUUCUGCAAAUCAUUACCCUUGCACAUGAAUGGUAAUUUGCCUGCGGGUAUUGGAAUGUAUGUGUUUGCAAUGAUUUGUGAUUUGAUGCAUGUGGUUGGUGGACUUUGUAUGUGCUGUUUUGCCAACGGGGAAGGGACUCUUCCUUGAGCACUGCAAGCCCUUGCACAUUGAUGCUGGCAAAAUGUUUCUGCUUG
This 664-nucleotide ribosomal RNA is filed under the name Alexandrium minutum. RNAcentral's name for it is "LSU rRNA". It matches the Rfam family "Eukaryotic large subunit ribosomal RNA", at positions 47 to 646 of the family's 3401-position model. The record is from RNAcentral. Lineage: Eukaryota; Dinophyceae; Gonyaulacales; Pyrocystaceae.